GAAAAGAAACCAACAGGGAUUGCCUUAGUAACGGCGAGUGAAGCGGCAAAAGCUCAAAUUUGAAAUCUAACGCCUCUGGUGUUCGAGUUGUAAUUUGGAGAGGCAUCUUCCGGAGUGGCCCAGCCUAUGUACCUUGGAACAGGACGUCAUAGAGGGUGAGAAUCCCGUUCUUGGCUGGAUGUUCACUCCCGUAUGUAGUGUCUUCUACGAGUCGAGUUGUUUGGGAAUGCAGCUCAAAAUGGGUGGUAAAUUUCAUCUAAAGCUAAAUAUUGGCGAGAGACCGAUAGCGCACAAGUAGAGUGAUCGAAAGAUGAAAAGCACUUUGAAAAUAGAGUCAAACAGUACGUGAAAUUGUUGAAAGGGAAGCGCUUGAGACCAGAGUCAGCCUUUGGCAAACAACUGUCCUUCUGGGCGGUGCACUUGUCAUUGGUUGGGCCAGCAUCGGUUGGGACGGUGGGAUAAAGGCUUGGGAAAUGUGACUCCUUUAUGGAGUGUUAUAGUCCCAGGUGGCAUGCCAUCAGUCCCGACCGUGGACCGCGCCUUGGCUCGGAUGCUGGCUUAAUGGUCUUCA
RNAcentral lists this ribosomal RNA (571 nucleotides) under Tuber rapaeodorum. Its description in RNAcentral is "eukaryotic LSU rRNA". It matches the Rfam family "Eukaryotic large subunit ribosomal RNA", at positions 56 to 643 of the family's 3401-position model. Lineage: Eukaryota; Fungi; Ascomycota; Pezizomycetes; Pezizales; Tuberaceae. The record is from RNAcentral.